AUGUACGACGCUCCGUCUGGGCAGGAGAUGUCCUACACGGACCAUGUUCAGAGGCGCCACGAGGAGAAGGGCUGCCUCUACGCAUGGCGAGACACACACAAACGUGUUCACGGCGCUGUGCUGCUUCUGCUGCUACGAGACGUGCGAGUGCUGCCUCGACUGCCUCUGCUGCUGCUGCAACUAGACCAGCCAUCCUCACCAUGGACGGAUGGACCGAGAAAGAUGCUGCGCGAGAUCGACCGGCCUCCACUACUGUUAAUUAUCCCCCAAAAAAAUUUACAAUUUCCUAAUAAGCUAGGAUGGUGCGGGGCCCCUAAACGCGUGGUGGCGCGGCCGAUCCAAUCUAUGCGGGGCGGCGGCGAUGGUUGCGGCAGGCGGCGGUGUGGUGGCCGGCCCUGCCUCGGGCAACAACAGCUGCAGAUGCAAAACCUUGUACCUGCAGACAGCUCUAUCCUAAACGUCGGAAGAUUACAUCCCAUGAGUGGGUGCCGUAGGAUGGCAACUGCGGGGACGACGCCAGCCUCCGCCGCCUCUCCCCCGCCCCCCGCAUCGCCCGCCGUGCCCGCCGGCGCGCCGUGCCUGGCCGGUGCGGCCGCCCUCCCCCUAUCUACUCGCCCCUCGCCCUCCUCCCCUACCUCGUCGCCUUCCCUCCUUUGCCCCGUCCGCCUCUGCAGCGACGCGCGCUUGCAGUUGGGCCGACUGGGCGGUGGAGGAGGACCGGUUGGACGCCGCCGCGGCUGCAGCCGGGCUGCCACGGCCUCCUCGCCACUUCGGUUACUAGUUGGCGGCGGCGGUGGCGGCCGCCGAGUCCGUCUCCGCCCCGGUGCCUUCCCCUCCCCUUCCCCUCCCCUUCCCCUCCCUCUACCUUUGCGGGUGCGGCCGGAGGCCCACCACGCACCACCUUCCCCCCCGCCACAGGGCGCUGGCCGUCCGGCUGGUCGUCAUGGCCGAGGGGCCCGAGCGCGAGCUUGGGGGGUGGCCGGUCGCUCGGAGUUGGGGCGAGCGGCGUUUUCAUGGCGCUCUUCCUCGUCGGUCUUCUCUUCGUUCACUCCGGCGUUGGUUGCGGGUGGCGUGACUGGCGCGGCCUCGACCGGGGUAGUCCCCUGCAGCCGCAAGUUUCGGCCUUUCCGGCCAUCGGCGUCUGCGGUGGGCGUUGCCCUGCCGCCGGCGGCGGCCUGGCCUCCUAGGGGGGAAACCCUAUUCCCUCCCCUCCCUCGGUCGGGUUGUGGGCUGGGCCUAGGUGGGCCGUCGACGCAGGUGGUUCGACCUUCGAGUAGCCCACUUUCUGGGCCUAUGGGGGGAGGCGGGGAUACUGGGCCGUCCUGGUCCUUUGCCGUUCGGCCUGCCCCUGCUGGGCUGCCUCUCUCCCUGGCCCAUGCGGUCACGCCGCUCUUAGAGCUCGCCCCUGCCCUCUCGCUAGGGCUCGACCCAUCUCCUUCCCUCCCCACCCCGACUCCCUCCUUCCCAUCUCCGCCGCGACCUCCUCCCUCCCCGCCCUCCGGCAUGCCCUCUCGGGUCCCUUCCGCCAUGGCUCGCGAGCAAGGCGACGACACCCCUCGGCCUAAGCGGCGUGCCGAUGGCCGCGACGGUGGGGCGGCCCAAGCCUCGCGCCGUCCCUUGCCGGGUGGGGCUCGCCAGGAGACCGAGCUCCGCGACUCGAUGCUCAAGGGCAAGGGGGCGGCGUCCACGUGUGAUGGGGGUUGGCGUGGUGCUGACCCACGGGACCGCUCGCCGGAGCAGUGGCACGGUCGCGGCCGCGACCGGGACCGCCAGUCUCCGCCUCGUCGUUCCCGCUCUCCGGCUUGUUCCGGCCGCUCUGAGGCAUCCCCCCUGCGGCGCUACGACCCCCCGCGUCGCCAGGCGCAAUUUCCACCGUCUGGCCCCAACAACCGCAAUGGGCGUGGUACCUUCGCGAAGAAGAAGAAGAAACGCGUAGCGAAUCUGCAAGCCGCGGCCGCGUUCGCCCCGGCAUCCUCCAUCUCCAACCCCCCCCCCCCCACUGUGCCGACAGCGGGAACUCCCCGUCCACCGGCCCCGGCGGUGACGUGCUUCAACUGUGGGGUGGAGGGGCAUUGCCAGAUGGAUCUCCCUGUGCCGGCGGCUUCCUCCUCCCUGACUGCUCUCAUCUUCGUCCUCGACGGCAAGACGGCGUCCCCGGAGAUCAUUGAUGAAGAGCUUCGCCACCUGUUCAAGCCGGAUUGGGACUGGGAGGUGGCUCCCAUUUCUGAUUGGGAGUUCACCGCAGUCUUCUCUGAUCCUGUCAGCCUCCGCUAUGGCACCCACAAUUCAUGGGCCAUCGCUCGUGUGGAGGGGGCUAUCCGGGGCAUGUCCCAGCUCCUGUGCAAGAUUGUGUCGAUUGACCCUCUCUCGCUGCUCAAGGGGCCGGCCGUCCGUGUCCAGCUCAAGACCCCGGACCCCUCCAAGCUCCAGAUGACCUUUCGGAUGUUCUUCAACGAUGCUGGUUACGUUCUCCACGUCUCCGUCGAAGAGCCGCUCUCCGCUCCCCCUGUGGACCCCAUGGAUUGCUCGGACCCGAAGGCCGACCUGGACCAUGAGGGCAAUGGCGGCCCCCCUUCUGGGCACGAGCAGCGCCGCCGUCUCCGGAGCCAUUCCCCGGCGUCGAAACGCUCGGAUGAAGCCUCUGAGGAUGACCGUGGCGCCUCGCCCCGGACUGGUGCGGCGGUCCCUCCGUCCCGCUCCAAGGCCAUCACCACGGUCCUCCCCACGGAUGCUUCGGGUGAGGGGGAGGAGGACAUCGCGGUGAUCGCUGCUAUGCUUGAUGAGGCGGCUACCUUACCUCCUGGCGCCAUCAUUCCAAUCUUCAUGGAGGCGCAGAUUUCCUCCUCUGAUGGUGGCGUCAGCGACACGAGUAGUGUGGGCAUGGAGGUGAUCCCGGCCUCUUCGCCCCGUCCCUCCUCUCCUGCCCCGCUUCAGGAUCCUUCUGGCGCCGUCCUCAUCGUGCCUCCGGCAUUGCUCGAGCUGUCUGGUCCGGUGCCGGCCUCGGGGCUUUCAGCGCGGGCCGCCCCUCCCCGCCCUCCCGCGGCCAAGCGGCGCCUGCGGUCGACGUCCACUCCGCCGUCGUCGGCUCGGAAGAGUGUGCGGCUCGGGUCGGCGACCCCCCUGGUGGGGCCUUCUCCCACCGCCGUGGAGAAGGCUUCCCGCCGUGCCGCGGCGCGGAACCUUGAUGCAGGUCCGUCUACCCAUCCUACACCGGCUCUCUUCUGCAAUGAUGAUGUGAUGAUUGAGGAUACUUCCUUUUUGGUCCUUGCCGGGGUUCCGCUGGGUCACUUAGCGAAAGUCGCGGCGGAUUCCACCAUAGUUUUCCCAGGGGAGAAAGGUCCCCCCUUAGAACAAAUUGCCUCCCUUCAGGCCAAGGAGAUCAUCGCCUCGGGACCCAGCCCCCGAGGAGGUCCGUGGCAGGACCCGUUCGCGGACAACUCAGUUACGUCGUGCCUUGAGUGCCAACUCCACAGUGGGGUCCCGGGAGGACCUUGUAGGCGAGUAGUUAUGCAUGCGUUAUUCUGGAACCUACGGGGUUUCGGCCAUGAUGGCCGCCGUAGGCAACUGAUUGAUUACAUCCGCGACGAGUCUGUGGAUGUGGUUGCGAUUCAGGAAACGAUGCGGGUGGAUUUUUCCUUGGCCGAGCUCGAGCGCUUGAGCCAUCACUUAUUCGCCUGGCACUGGUUGCCAUCUAGUGGCGUGGCCGGACACUCCGGUGGGAUCCUUCUGGGUGUGAAGGAUGCCACCUUCGAGGUGGGAUCCAUGGAUCGUGGAUCCCACUUUGUUAGUAUGGAGCUGUGGGAGCAUGAUGUUAACUUCAAUGGCAUCACCUAUCCAAGCGCUCUAGCUAGGCAAUUCAUGAAGGGAUGGGGUGCCAAUAUUGGGAGGGACCUUCGUGUCCAAAAGGCUACCCUUCUCGAAGAAAUCCGCGCGUUGGACCUGCGCGCUGAUACCUCAGGGAUCUCUGCAGAGGAAUGGGCAUAUAGGUACAACCUGGAAGAGUACCUCAUGGAGAUCUACUCCAAGGAGGAAGAAUUUUGGCGCCAACGUGGAUCUAUAAAGUGGGUGCUGUUUGGUGAUGCCAACACAACUUACUUCCAGGCGAUCGCCAAUGGCCGUAGGAGACGUUGCUCCAUCCCCCUUUUAUGGGAGGGCGGCCAGCCUUUUCAGGAUCCACUAGGGAUUCGCGCUUUGGUGGACGACUUUUAUAAGUCGUUAUUUAUGGACCGUGCCAGGGGCGGUCUCGCCCUGGCCGACCAUAUCUGGUCACAUGACCAACUAGUUUCCCCGGCGGAAAAUGCGGCGUUAAUGGCCCCAUUUGAUGCCGCGGAGACUGAGGAGGGCAGCCUAUGGCUGGAGAUUAUUCGCGCUAAGUACCUUCGUGGUCAACCAUUGGCCUUUGCCUCUAGGUCAGGCGGGUCCCAGUUCUGGCAAUCGGUGAUCUAUCUGAUGCCUGUGCUACACAUUGGGACCGCCAUCUCUGUAGGGUCCGGUGCUGGUACCCUCUUUUGGCUAGAUCGAUGGGCGGGGCCCCGCUCAUUUGCGGUGCGCUUCCCUUCAUUAUUUUCAAUCUGCACCCGCCCACUCUUAUCGGUGGCGGUUGCCUUAGCAGACUUGGGGGUUGUUACCUUCCACUGUACCUUUGGGGUGGCGGAACGCGAACAAUGGGACGAGCUAGUCAAAUGUAUUGCACUCCGCUCCCCCUCCCUCGAGCCGGAUACGCUAUCUUGGCAUCUUGAGCCAAAUGGCCGCUUCUCAACUAGGUCCCUUUAUCAGGCAAUUGUACCCACUUCGGGACCGGCGGAAUUAUCUGUUCUAUGGGAAAUCAAACUUCCCCUAAAGAUCUGCAUCUUCCUUUGGCAGUGGGUUCGAGGCCGACUUCCCUCGGGCACGGAGGUCCGCAAGCAUAGUGGCCCUGGGGAUGGCCUCUGCCCCCUCUGCUUGGUCCCCUCUGGAGACCGCUUAGCAAGCGGUGUGAUCGGGACACCCUUGACAACAUCAGUGCAGGCCUUCGAUCUUCGGCAGCAGCCCUUUCGCCAGCAUCUCCUCCACCGCCACCCCCACCCGAGCCGGAUUAGCUCCCUUUUUCUUUCUUCUUCUUUUUUGGGGCUUGUUUCGUUGUGCCCCCAGCAUGACUUGUUGACUUGUUUGAUACGGUCACUUCUUCGUAUCCAGACGUAUGGGGAAGUAUCUAGUGCUCCCAGGCUUGGGGUGCUCCCGGUGCUCCAAAUAUCCGAAAAACAUUUUUAA
RNAcentral lists this ribosomal RNA (5250 nucleotides) under Triticum aestivum (bread wheat). RNAcentral's name for it is "partial small subunit ribosomal RNA". Lineage: Eukaryota; Viridiplantae; Streptophyta; Magnoliopsida; Poales; Poaceae. The record is from RNAcentral.